Long non-coding RNA from Labrus mixtus (cuckoo wrasse), 296 nucleotides. RefSeq lists it as uncharacterized. The record is from RefSeq and is a predicted model, not a curated record. Lineage: Eukaryota; Metazoa; Chordata; Actinopteri; Labriformes; Labridae. The transcript has 2 exons.
AACAACUGCAUCUUCCCCUUCAACUGCUCAAACGACAAAGCCCAGCAAAUAUCCAGGCCCAAUGAGUCCAUUUGUGCCUUACUACCAGGAACCAUUUAUUCCAUAUGUUUCGUACAAAUCCAGUAAGGCAGGUAAACAUCCAGACCAGAAAUGAAUGCCCCAAACUGGCUACAAAUCUGGACUCCAGCCUCAGUCGCACCCACAUCCAGGCUUCAAGUACUGGCAAAAAUCUCAGCCAUAAUGACUCCAAAGGUUCUGUCCUACUACUGAGCAACAAUAAACUGGUUUAACCUUAA